GAUGAACGCUGGCGGCGUGCCUAAUACAUGCAAGUCGAGCGAACGGACGAGAAGCUUGCUUCUCUGAUGUUAGCGGCGGACGGGUGAGUAACACGUGGAUAACCUACCUAUAAGACUGGGAUAACUUCGGGAAACCGGAUCUAAUACCGGAUGAUAUUUUGAACCGCAUGGUUCAAAAGUGAAAGACGGUCUUGCUGUCACUUAUAGAUGGAUCCGCGCUGCAUUAGCUAGUUGGUAAGGUAACGGCUUACCAAGGCAACGAUGCAUAGCCGACCUGAGAGGGUGAUCGGCCACACUGGAACUGAGACACGGUCCAGACUCCUACGGGAGGCAGCAGUAGGGAAUCUGCCGCAAUGGGCGAAAGCCUGACGGAGCAACGCCGCGUGAGUGAUGAAGGUCUUCGGAUCGUAAAACUCUGUUAUUAGGGAAGAACAUAUGUGUAAGUAACUGUGCACAUCUUGGCGGUACCUAAUCAGAAAGCCACGGCUAACUACGUG
RNAcentral lists this ribosomal RNA (497 nucleotides) under uncultured bacterium. RNAcentral's name for it is "partial 16S ribosomal RNA". It matches the Rfam family "Bacterial small subunit ribosomal RNA", at positions 28 to 507 of the family's 1533-position model. The record is from RNAcentral.